UUGGAAAUAUAUCGAACUCACAGUAUCGAUCGUUAUUAGCGAGACUGUGUAUAUGUGUGAUGAAACAAAUUUAUCGCAAAACAAAUAUGAAGGGUUCUAUAGUGAGGUCCACGUUAUAAUGACUAUUAGAUCAACUUUGGUUUUGCUAUCCUUGUCUAUCAUUCGACAAAGCCGGUGGUAUUAUCCUUAUCUAGGUCCACAAUGAUGCCAACUAUGUUUAUGACAGUGUAGAAAUAUAAUUAAUUAAUGCAGAGAAUCGGCAUCGCUAUUCUUCUAUCUUCAUCCACUGCCAUUAUAACGUGGACCUCACUAUAUAUAGUUAACCUAGAAUAAAUUUAUCAACAGUCGUCAGUCUUGUUUGAAACAAAUAACAGAGUUUCGAAAAUUUGCAUAAUAUGUACAUGACUAUUAUUUUAUAAACCACUAUAAUUUUAAUUCGUGUUUUUACUGUUGGUUAUGGUAUUAGUUAUAAAAUGAAGUAGCAAUAAUGUAGCAUACCUAAUAAAAAAAUCUUUAUUAUAACAAGAAAGAAACUGACUUAUAUGUUGAUAACAAUAGCAUUAGGCUACUACUGCCUAUAUCGUACCUAUAUUUUGAGUUUUCUGUGGAGAACGAAUGGCUCAAGUUAAUGAAGCUAAUGAAAUAUCAAAACCUACCAA
Long non-coding RNA from Nilaparvata lugens (brown planthopper), 659 nucleotides. RefSeq lists it as uncharacterized. NCBI's taxonomy places the organism in Eukaryota, Metazoa, Arthropoda, Insecta, Hemiptera, Delphacidae. The record is from RefSeq and is a predicted model, not a curated record. The transcript is spliced from 2 exons.